ACUUUCCACUGAAGAGAGACUGUGGUUCCAGUGCUGCUACUUUGACUUAGGGAAAUCUUCUUUCGUCUCAUGGUUUGGACAGUUGCAUCUCUGUAAGGCAAUAUGGAAAAACAAGAACAAUUCUGCAGGAAGGCAGAGGAUUUUAGCUUCCAGGACUAUGAUUCAAAUGUGUUUUACAGCCACUGAAUUCACAUGCACUCUUAAUUAAAAGUAAAAUAUAACUCCUGAGUAGGCCCAUUCUACAACAGCCCUGGUCACAAAGAGGCUACACCGUGGAGGCUGUGCAGACAAUGUCGCCAAGGAUCCCAGAGCACACUGAACUGGAUUGAACUGAAGAUACCAUUAAGAGAGGAACUUCUGACAACUUGCCUGAGCUUAGGUCACUUGACUACACAAUUUCUCUUGUAGCCAAAGUUCUUUCACAGCCUCUCUACCAUCUGCAGGAACAUUCACUCAAGGAAGACAACAUAGCAGGGGGGUUGAACUAGAUGAUCAUUGUGGUCCUUUUCAACCCAGGCCAUAUGAUUCUAUGACACAUCACAGUGAGUCUGUGCAAUGGAGCUGCAAAACAGUCCAUGUCUGCUUUUACAGUCACACUGAGAAGAAUAAUCCAAGUCCAAAACUGGUAGACUCUUUUGGUGGGAAAGUUACCAGGCAGGUGCGAUCUACAGCUUUAUCCUCAAAGGACACUGCAAUAAGAAACUGAGGACAAGCAGUACUGUUGCUUAGGACAGUAAAUAGAAGAAGGAAAGUAAACAGAGCUGUCUGAAACACUCCUUUAGUUUUCUUCAAGUUCCAGUCCUUUUGGUGGAAAUAAAACUUGAAAACUGCUCAUGGAGUCCCAGAGGCCUCCAGGGUCUGGCCUCAGGUUUCACCCCAGGUGUUUCACUACUGCAGAAGAGGGAUUGUUUUAAAAGCCCCAAAGGCUGCCCUCCACCAGCACAAAGACCAUGAAAAGAUGUUGGUAAUUGCUUAGUGACAGACUAACUUGCCCUGAUUCCUUUCUGCACAACCCCAAAUCUAAACUUUAAUUAAAAUCUUGGGUUCUUUAACUCCUUUAGAGACAAGUGUAUCUGUGAAUCUGGACCUAAAUUCAAACUGAGAUUACAAUUUAGCAACAACUUCCAGUCAUUCAGGUACAAAAGCCUUCGUUUUUUAAUCCUGCUAUUAUUAGCAGCUUUAUAGCCUUUCCAAAAGCAAACAAUUCCAGGAAUAAGUAGAAGGAAAGGGUUGCUCUGAGGAAGAAACUGCAGUCUCUCAGGAGUCUCAGAGUCUGUUUAUGUGUGUGACGUUGUGGAACAUGCUGUGAAUUAUAAUUGACAUGCAGACUGUAAAAUUAUGGUCCCUUUCUAAUUGCUGUCUCUGUACGCCUCAGCCACGAGGUAUAAUUUCUUAGGAAAACGCAUUUCUCAUCCUUUUAAUCUGGAAUCCCUUUCAUAAUCUACAUAGGCUCCAUUACACACCAGUAGAGCCUACCUCCUCCAUAAGGAUGCUAUCCAGAUUUCCCUGAAUUACUGUCUGGGAUCGUCCUGGGGCAGAAGAUUCCAAACAACUGAGCCCAAAAAUGUAUUGUGAAUGCAGCAGUAUGACACCAAUAAAAGGUACUUUAAAUUAC
This is a long non-coding RNA of Gallus gallus (chicken), 1615 nucleotides long. NCBI's taxonomy places the organism in Eukaryota, Metazoa, Chordata, Aves, Galliformes, Phasianidae. The record is from Ensembl.